RNAcentral lists this ribosomal RNA (330 nucleotides) under Triticum aestivum (bread wheat). RNAcentral describes it as "partial small subunit ribosomal RNA". Lineage: Eukaryota; Viridiplantae; Streptophyta; Magnoliopsida; Poales; Poaceae. The record is from RNAcentral.
AUGAUUGAGCUGCUGUCCCUUGCAUUGUGCUAUCACGAAAACCAAAGCCUCUUCCACAGGAAACCUGCCACAUUGUUUGUGCCAUCAGUGUUGACCUUCUGGAAAUUUGCAGGUUUGUUUGACCAUCUCUCCGUAAAAAGAAGAGAUACCAUUGCAAGGCUGAGAGCAGGUGACAUGUUACAAAUUGGAAUGGUUUCCUACCUGACAUUCCUACAGCCGGAAAGAGUAAUUCUGAUCUGCUACAUUUUAGCCAAUCGCCAACUUAAGCCAUCAUAUUUACAGUUAAGAAAUGCAUGGCGGCCAUCAUCAUUGAACCAGUGGCAAAGGUAA